RNAcentral lists this ribosomal RNA (332 nucleotides) under uncultured eukaryote. RNAcentral's name for it is "partial 18S ribosomal RNA". It matches the Rfam family "Eukaryotic small subunit ribosomal RNA", at positions 1470 to 1796 of the family's 1831-position model. The record is from RNAcentral.
CCCUUAGAUGUUCUGGGCCGCACGCGCGCUACACUGUUCGACGCAGCGAGUCUUAACCUUGACCGAAAGGUUUGGGUAAUCUUCAGCAAAGUCGAACGUGAUGGGGAUCGAUCAUUGCAAUUAUUGAUCGUGAACGAGGAAUUCCUAGUAAGUGCAAGUCAUCAGCUUGCGCUGAUUACGUCCCUGCCCUUUGUACACACCGCCCGUCGCUACUACCGAUUGAAUGGUUUAGUGAGAUCUCUGGAUUGACGCUGGCUAGGGGGCGACCCUUGGCCAGACUGCUCGAGAAACUGCUCAAACUUGAUCAUUUAGAGGAAGUAAAAGUCAUAACA